CCUACGGGGGGCAGCAGUGGGGAAUAUUGGACAAUGGGGGCAACCCUGAUCCAGCCAUGCCGCGUGUGUGAAGAAGGCCCUCGGGUUGUAAAGCACUUUCAGUGAGGAAGAACGCCUGGUGGUUAAUACCCAUCAGGAAAGACAUCACUCACAGAAGAAGCACCGGCUAACUCCGUGCCAGCAGCCGCGGUAAUACGGAGGGUGCGAGCGUUAAUCGGAAUUACUGGGCGUAAAGCGCGCGUAGGUGGCUUGAUAAGCCGGUUGUGAAAGCCCCGGGCUCAACCUGGGAACGGCAUCCGGAACUGUCAAGCUAGAGUGCAGGAGAGGAAGGUAGAAUUCCCGGUGUAGCGGUGAAAUGCGUAGAGAUCGGGAGGAAUACCAGUGGCGAAGGUGGCCUUCUGGACUGACACUGACACUGAGGUGCGAAAGCGUGGGUAGCAAACAGGAUUAGAUACCCUUGUAGUC
This 465-nucleotide ribosomal RNA is filed under the name Vreelandella stevensii. RNAcentral's name for it is "partial 16S ribosomal RNA". It matches the Rfam family "Bacterial small subunit ribosomal RNA", at positions 338 to 795 of the family's 1533-position model. The record is from RNAcentral. Lineage: Bacteria; Pseudomonadati; Pseudomonadota; Gammaproteobacteria; Oceanospirillales; Halomonadaceae.